UGGGGAAUAUUGCACAAUGGGCGCAAGCCUGAUGCAGCCAUGCCGCGUGUGUGAAGAAGGCCUUCGGGUUGUAAAGCACUUUCAGCGGGGAGGAAGGCGUUAAGGUUAAUAACCUUGGCGAUUGACGUUACCCGCAGAAGAAGCACCGGCUAACUCCGUGCCAGCAGCCGCGGUAAUACGGAGGGUGCAAGCGUUAAUCGGAAUUACUGGGCGUAAAGCGCACGCAGGCGGUCUGUCAAGUCGGAUGUGAAAUCCCCGGGCUCAACCUGGGAACUGCAUUCGAAACUGGCAGGCUAGAGUCGUGUAGAGGGGGGUAGAAUUCCAGGUGUAGCGGUGAAAUGCGUAGAGAUCUGGGGGAAUACCGGUGGCGAAGGCGGCCCCCUGGACAAAGACUGACGCUCAGGUGCGAAAGCGUGGGGAGCAAACAGG
RNAcentral lists this ribosomal RNA (429 nucleotides) under Chloroflexota bacterium. Its description in RNAcentral is "Chloroflexi bacterium partial 16S ribosomal RNA". It matches the Rfam family "Bacterial small subunit ribosomal RNA", at positions 355 to 776 of the family's 1533-position model. The record is from RNAcentral. Lineage: Bacteria; Bacillati; Chloroflexota.